This 323-nucleotide ribosomal RNA is filed under the name Alternaria sp. RNAcentral's name for it is "partial large subunit ribosomal RNA". It matches the Rfam family "Eukaryotic large subunit ribosomal RNA", at positions 331 to 671 of the family's 3401-position model. The record is from RNAcentral. Lineage: Eukaryota; Fungi; Ascomycota; Dothideomycetes; Pleosporales; Pleosporaceae.
AGACCGAUAGCGAACAAGUAGAGUGAUCGAAAGAUGAAAAGCACUUUGGAAAGAGAGUCAAACAGCACGUGAAAUUGUUGAAAGGGAAGCGCUUGCAGCCAGACUUGCUUACAGUUGCUCAUCCGGGUUUUUACCCGGUGCACUCUUCUGUAGGCAGGCCAGCAUCAGUUUGGGCGGUAGGAUAAAGGUCUCUGUCACGUACCUCCUUUCGGGGAGGCCUUAUAGGGGAGACGACAUACUACCAGCCUGGACUGAGGUCCGCGCAUCUGCUAGGAUGCUGGCGUAAUGGCUGUAAGCGGCCCGUCUUGAAACACGGACCAAGA